UAUGUGGUUAUCUCACCUAUGUUAAUUCCUGGGAGAUGAGACAGGCAUAUGGCUGUGGUGGAGACCGGGGCCCUGGAGACAUGGCAUUUGUAUGUAAGGUUUGAUGAAUAUCUACAAUGUACCGCACUGCUAGACAGAAGGAUAAAAGGUGUACCAGAUAAGUAAAUAGCCUGCCAUCAUGAAAGUGGGAAACACACGAAAUAAGCAGGAAACAUCACUGAUUCUCACAGCCUAGAGUACUUAGUGACUACUGCCUCUGACCAAAGCAGAAUUCUCUCCUCUGCUGUUUCUGACUUGUGCCAAUAUGAAGAACUCCUUGGAGCCUAUCAUCUCAUCAGCGCCAACUAUAGUCCAUGAUGAAGGUUUGGGAAUGAUAUCUGUAUUGUUGGCUUUGUCAGUGAUCUUAAAAUGUAAACAAAGGACAUCUGGUUCAGCCUUGUAAGCCCAUCUUCGCAGGAAGCUGGACAGGACGACCACAGUUCAAAGCAUCCCAGAGCUAUAGUGUAUCUAGAUAUCAGCUUUUUUGCAGAAAGGUUUUCCUGGGUAUUUGAGACGAUAUUUCAGCUCCUGCAGUGACAAAAGCUCAUUCAGACGCUGCAUAAUUUACUAACCUGAUUUAUAAAGCGCUACAAUAUGUCUAGUACUUUCAUGCAAUAUGAGGAUAGAGCCUUCUGAGGAAAGGGAAGAUCUGUAAUGAUCGCAAUGCACCCUGGAAUUACGUGCAGUAGAAGAAAGCAGAUUGGGGCAAUUAUCCCUCUUUUUAUUAUUAAACCUUCGGAUGGCUGUUAGAGGUUAAUGGGACUAUUAUUUUUCCUUCUUUAAAAAUCUGCCUUCAAGCUUAUCUGGAUGGCUCCACAUGAGGGGCCCGGCUCUUGUAACAGCAGGCAGAGCUUCUAUUAAGCAAGGAGAGAGAUCACAAGCAUGUGCUAUUGCUUAAAUAAACCCUAGAGCCUUCAAGUCCUGGAAAUGAGCCCUGAUGAUGAGAAGUGCCCCUGUACACUUAACAGCAAGCAUGGUAUCUUUGAUAACAU
Molecule: long non-coding RNA, 1031 nt
Organism: Mus musculus (house mouse)
Lineage: Eukaryota; Metazoa; Chordata; Mammalia; Rodentia; Muridae
Product: predicted gene 16347
Exons: 4
Source: RefSeq, a predicted model, not a curated record